UCCAUUUUAGUAUUAGCUUCACUUCUCUCGACAUUCCUCAAUAGGUAAGAACCCUAUCAAUCGACAACUAUGGAGGAAGAGUCGUCGGUGAAUAGUACUUAGCUCCUAGGUGGCAUCUGCGUUUCCGGCCACCAAUUCAAUUGUCUAAGGUAAUUCGAUUUUGGGUUCCUGGGUUUGUGCGAUCUCCCUCUUCCGAAAACAUUUCAGCCUUGCCACCACCAGAAACGAACUCAGCGCCUCAUAUUGAGUGAAACCGCUAAUCUUACAUCUCAGUUCAGCCAACUUCGCCGUGUCUCCGCCGCUUCUGCCGUCGCUGCUCCUCCGUGAGUGGUGGCUAGGGUUUUCAGAAUAGUUUGGAUAGAUAUGAUGUAAUUCAGUGAUUAGUGGAGUAUGGAAUUCAUGUUUUGGAACAGGAGGAAGUUUCCUCCUGAUUUGAUGUCCAUUGAAAUGGACUAAGAACCAGCUAUAAUAGUAGGCAACAGAAAAGGAGAUUGAUCACAGGAAGAAGAUUUGAAAAGUAAAAUGGUAAGGACCUUGGGUGAUCUUGGUGACUUAGGAAUUAAGUUUGGGCUUGUUUAUGAGUUGAUUAUUACAGUUUGUUGUAAUGGCUGAGAAGAGUAGAUAAAAUUAGUGGAAUUACCCAUGC
Argentina anserina (silverweed cinquefoil) is the source of this 646-nucleotide long non-coding RNA. RefSeq lists it as uncharacterized. The record is from RefSeq and is a predicted model, not a curated record. NCBI's taxonomy places the organism in Eukaryota, Viridiplantae, Streptophyta, Magnoliopsida, Rosales, Rosaceae. The transcript is spliced from 4 exons.